RNAcentral lists this unclassified non-coding RNA (250 nucleotides) under Hevea brasiliensis (rubber tree). Lineage: Eukaryota; Viridiplantae; Streptophyta; Magnoliopsida; Malpighiales; Euphorbiaceae. The record is from RNAcentral.
CGAAAAAGGGACCGGCAGUAGGCGGUGCGACUCUCCUGCAGCAGAAACACCCAACAUGAACUGGUGGAGUAGGAGAGAAUCCCCGUUGUAGGGUUUGGGGAUGUGGCGGUGGAAGCGGCGGUGGAAUCCCGGCCAGCCGCGGAAGUCGUCGAUGCAGAGGAUGAGGGUGUCGGGGAGGGAUAGGUUGCGGGUGAUGGCGGCCAUGUGGAGGGCAGAGGCGCCAAGGAAGGUCCCGAGCUCGAUGAUGGUG